This 76-nucleotide transfer RNA is filed under the name Rhodospirillaceae bacterium. Its description in RNAcentral is "tRNA-Lys". It matches the Rfam family "tRNA". From Rfam's summary of the family: Transfer RNA (tRNA) molecules are approximately 80 nucleotides in length. Their secondary structure includes four short double-helical elements and three loops (D, anti-codon, and T loops). Further hydrogen bonds mediate the characteristic L-shaped molecular structure. tRNAs have two regions of fundamental functional importance: the anti-codon, which is responsible for specific mRNA codon recognition, and the 3' end, to which the tRNAs corresponding amino acid is attached (by aminoacyl-tRNA synthetases). tRNAs cope with the degeneracy of the genetic code in two manners: having more than one tRNA (with a specific anti-codon) for a particular amino acid; and 'wobble' base-pairing, i.e. permitting non-standard base-pairing at the 3rd anti-codon position. Lineage: Bacteria; Pseudomonadati; Pseudomonadota; Alphaproteobacteria; Rhodospirillales; Rhodospirillaceae. The record is from RNAcentral. RNAcentral also lists the same sequence under 5 other names.
GGGCGCAUAGCUCAGUUGGUAGAGCAGCUGACUCUUAAUCAGCGGGUCACAGGUUCGAGCCCUGUUGCGCCCACCA